RNAcentral lists this ribosomal RNA (492 nucleotides) under uncultured bacterium. RNAcentral describes it as "partial 16S ribosomal RNA". It matches the Rfam family "Bacterial small subunit ribosomal RNA", at positions 29 to 507 of the family's 1533-position model. The record is from RNAcentral.
AGUGAACGCUGGCGGUAGGCCUAACACAUGCAAGUCGAACGGCAGCACAGUAAGAGCUUGCUCUUACGGGUGGCGAGUGGCGGACGGGUGAGGAAUACAUCGGAAUCUACUUUUUCGUGGGGGAUAACGUAGGGAAACUUACGCUAAUACCGCAUACGACCUACGGGUGAAAGCAGGGGAUCUUCGGACCUUGCGCGAUUGAAUGAGCCGAUGUCGGAUUAGCUAGUUGGCGGGGUAAAGGCCCACCAAGGCGACGAUCCGUAGCUGGUCUGAGAGGAUGAUCAGCCACACUGGAACUGAGAAACGGUCCAGACUCCUACGGGAGGCAGCAGUGGGGAAUAUUGGACAAUGGGCGAAAGCCUGAUCCAGCCAUACCGCGUGGGUGAAGAAGGCCUUCGGGUUGUAAAGCCCUUUUGUUGGGAAAGAAAAGCAGCAGGUUAAUACCCCGCUGUUCUGACGGUACCCAAAGAAUAAGCACCGGCUAACUUCGUG